RNAcentral lists this transfer RNA (73 nucleotides) under Ovis aries (sheep). It matches the Rfam family "tRNA". From Rfam's summary of the family: Transfer RNA (tRNA) molecules are approximately 80 nucleotides in length. Their secondary structure includes four short double-helical elements and three loops (D, anti-codon, and T loops). Further hydrogen bonds mediate the characteristic L-shaped molecular structure. tRNAs have two regions of fundamental functional importance: the anti-codon, which is responsible for specific mRNA codon recognition, and the 3' end, to which the tRNAs corresponding amino acid is attached (by aminoacyl-tRNA synthetases). tRNAs cope with the degeneracy of the genetic code in two manners: having more than one tRNA (with a specific anti-codon) for a particular amino acid; and 'wobble' base-pairing, i.e. permitting non-standard base-pairing at the 3rd anti-codon position. The record is from Rfam by way of RNAcentral. Lineage: Eukaryota; Metazoa; Chordata; Mammalia; Artiodactyla; Bovidae.
UCCCUGGUGGUCCAGUGGUUAAAACUCUGCACUUCCAAUGCAGAGUUCCCAGGUUCGAUCCCUGGUCAGGCAA